Molecule: ribosomal RNA, 503 nt
Filed under: uncultured bacterium
Lineage: Bacteria
Description: partial 16S ribosomal RNA
Rfam family: Bacterial small subunit ribosomal RNA
Source: RNAcentral
AUUGAACGCUGGCGGCAGGCUUAACACAUGCAAGUCGAGCGGGGUGAUGGUGCUUGCACUAUCACUUAGCGGCGGACGGGUGAGUAAUGCUUAGGAAUCUGCCUAUUAGUGGGGGACAACAUCUCGAAAGGGAUGCUAAUACCGCAUACGUCCUACGGGAGAAAGCAGGGGAUCACUUGUGACCUUGCGCUAAUAGAUGAGCCUAAGUCGGAUUAGCUAGUUGGUGGGGUAAAGGCCUACCAAGGCGACGAUCUGUAGCGGGUCUGAGAGGAUGAUCCGCCACACUGGGGCUGAGACACGGCCCAGACUCCUACGGGAGGCAGCAGUGGGGAAUAUUGGACAAUGGGGGGAACCCUGAUCCAGCCAUGCCGCGUGUGUGAAGAAGGCCUUAUGGUUGUAAAGCACUUUAAGCGAGGAGGAGGCUCUUUUGGUUAAUACCCGAGAUGAGUGGACGUUACUCGCAGAAUAAGCACCGGCUAACUCUGUGCCAGCCGCCGCAGUAA